UCCUCAAUAGCUCAGUUCGGUAGAGCGAUCGGCUGUUAACUGAUUGGUCGUAGGUUCGAAUCCUACUUGGGGAG
Molecule: non-coding RNA, 74 nt
Organism: Triticum aestivum (bread wheat)
Lineage: Eukaryota; Viridiplantae; Streptophyta; Magnoliopsida; Poales; Poaceae
Source: Rfam